AGUCCUAUAACGAGCGCAACCCCUAUCGUUAGUUGCCAACAGGUUAAGCUGGGAACUCUAGCAAGACUGCCGGUGCAAACCGUGAGGAAGGUGGGGAUGACGUCAAAUCAUCACGGCCCUUACGUCCUGGGCUACACACGUGCUACAAUGGUAGGGACAGAGAGCAGCCACUUCGUGAGAAGGAGCGAAUCUAUAAACCCUAUCACAGUUCGGAUCGGAGUCUGCAACUCGACUCCGUGAAGCUGGAAUCGCUAGUAACCGCAUAUCAGCCAUGAUGCGGUGAAUACGUUCCCGGGCCUU
RNAcentral lists this ribosomal RNA (300 nucleotides) under uncultured bacterium. RNAcentral's name for it is "bacterial SSU rRNA". It matches the Rfam family "Bacterial small subunit ribosomal RNA", at positions 1083 to 1382 of the family's 1533-position model. The record is from RNAcentral.